This 497-nucleotide ribosomal RNA is filed under the name uncultured bacterium. RNAcentral's name for it is "partial 16S ribosomal RNA". It matches the Rfam family "Bacterial small subunit ribosomal RNA", at positions 28 to 507 of the family's 1533-position model. The record is from RNAcentral.
GAUGAACGCUGGCGGCGUGCCUAAUACAUGCAAGUCGAGCGAACAGAUAAGGAGCUUGCUCCUUUGACGUUAGCGGCGGACGGGUGAGUAACACGUGGGUAACCUACCUAUAAGACUGGAAUAACUCCGGGAAACCGGGGCUAAUGCAGGAUAACAUGUUGAACCGCAUGGUUCUACGGUGAAAGGCGGCUUUGCUGUCACUUAUAGAUGGACCCGCGCCGUAUUAGCUAGUUGGUGAGGUAACGGCUCACCAAGGCAACGAUACGUAGCCGACCUGAGAGGGUGAUCGGCCACACUGGAACUGAGACACGGUCCAGACUCCUACGGGAGGCAGCAGUAGGGAAUCUUCCGCAAUGGGCGAAAGCCUGACGGAGCAACGCCGCGUGAGUGAUGAAGGUCUUCGGAUCGUAAAACUCUGUUAUUAGGGAAGAACAAAUGCGUAAGUAACUGUGCGCGUCUUGACGGUACCUAAUCAGAAAGCCACGGCUAACUACGUG